Xyrichtys novacula (pearly razorfish) is the source of this 300-nucleotide non-coding RNA. NCBI's taxonomy places the organism in Eukaryota, Metazoa, Chordata, Actinopteri, Labriformes, Labridae. The record is from the annotation of a GenBank genome assembly.
GUCUGUCUUCUUCUGUAGUCAAACCGUAAGAUAUCAAAAUCUACCCGGAUACAGCAAUGCUGCUUUUUUAUUGGCUGUUCAGUAGAUAUACUUUAUUUAAUUUGCUUGUGCGUGGCACGCAGCUUCUGAACUCUCAGAGGAACUCAGUUGAUUCCUACCUGUUCCAUAGUUAAAGAGGCGCAACUUGGUGGACAUCACCAUGUUCAUUUAAAUGCGUGAGAAAUACAAUGUGUGGCGUGUGAACGGGUGGGAAUGCGUGUGUCACACGCUGAAUGCGUGAGACUUGAGAGCCCUGGUAUA